AAACUGGCCUAAACCCAACUGGAC
RNAcentral lists this non-coding RNA (24 nucleotides) under Arabidopsis thaliana (thale cress). The record is from RNAcentral. Lineage: Eukaryota; Viridiplantae; Streptophyta; Magnoliopsida; Brassicales; Brassicaceae.